RNAcentral lists this ribosomal RNA (425 nucleotides) under uncultured bacterium. Its description in RNAcentral is "partial 16S ribosomal RNA". It matches the Rfam family "Bacterial small subunit ribosomal RNA", at positions 354 to 796 of the family's 1533-position model. The record is from RNAcentral.
GUGGGGAAUCUUGCGCAAUGGGCGAAAGCCUGACGCAGCCAUGCCGCGUGAAUGAUGAAGGUCUUAGGAUUGUAAAAUUCUUUCACCGGGGACGAUAAUGACGGUACCCAGAGAAGAAGCCCCGGCUAACUUCGUGCCAGCAGCCGCGGUAAUACGAAGGGGGCUAGCGUUGCUCGGAAUUACUGGGCGUAAAGGGCGCGUAGGCGGACAGUUUAGUCAGAGGUGAAAGCCCAGGGCUCAACCUUGGAAUUGCCUUUGAUACUGGCUGUCUUGAGUACGGGAGAGGUGAGUGGAACUCCGAGUGUAGAGGUGAAAUUCGUAGAUAUUCGGAAGAACACCAGUGGCGAAGGCGACUCACUGGCCCGUUACUGACGCUGAGGCGCGAAAGCGUGGGGAGCAAACAGGAUUAGAAACCCGAGUAGUCC